AGGUAGCUUAACCUCGGGAGGGCGCUUACCACUUUGUGAUUCAUGACUGGGGUGAAGUCGUAACAAGGUAACCGUAGGGGAACCUGCGGUUGGAUCACCUCCUUA
Molecule: ribosomal RNA, 105 nt
Filed under: Salmonella enterica subsp. enterica serovar Worthington str. BCH-3194
Lineage: Bacteria; Pseudomonadati; Pseudomonadota; Gammaproteobacteria; Enterobacterales; Enterobacteriaceae
Description: partial 16S ribosomal RNA
Rfam family: Bacterial small subunit ribosomal RNA
Source: RNAcentral